Oryzias latipes (Japanese medaka) is the source of this 71-nucleotide non-coding RNA. The record is from Rfam. NCBI's taxonomy places the organism in Eukaryota, Metazoa, Chordata, Actinopteri, Beloniformes, Adrianichthyidae.
AAGAAGCUGGUUUCACGUGGUGGUUUAGAUGUGUCUUUCUGUUGUCUAGCACCAUUUGAAAUCAGUGUUCU